UAAUGUGUCCUUUUCUUCGGAACACCGGUGACAGGUGGUGCAUGGUUGUCGUCAGCUCGUGUCGUGAGAUGUUGGGUUAAGUCCCGCAACGAGCGCAACCCUUAUCCCCAGUAGCCAGCAUUUUGGAUGGGCACUCUGAGGAGACUGCCAGGGAUAACCUGGAGGAAGGUGGGGAUGACGUCAAAUCAUCAUGCCCCUUAUGACUUGGGCUACACACGUGCUACAAUGGCGUAAACAAAGGGAAGCGAGACCGUGAGGUGGAGCAAAUCCCAAAAAUAACGUCUCAGUUCGGACUGUAGUCUGCAACCCGACUACACGAAGCUGGAAUCGCUAGUAAUCGCAGAUCAGAAUGCUGCGGUGAAUACGUUCCCGGGUCUUGUACACACCGAA
This 390-nucleotide ribosomal RNA is filed under the name uncultured bacterium. RNAcentral describes it as "bacterial SSU rRNA". It matches the Rfam family "Bacterial small subunit ribosomal RNA", at positions 1004 to 1394 of the family's 1533-position model. The record is from RNAcentral.